CAUGAUGAAUAAUAUUUAAUGAAGUUGAGACAAAGGUCUUCUAUUUUGUAGCUUUGAAAUUUGCUUGGCUUCCACAUUAUCGUAUCUUGACAGAUUAUGUUUUCAAUUCAAUGUUUUUAAAAUUCCUAGAAUUUUGGAGGUUUAAAUUAAUUUUGAAAACUGUUGCACUUAUUUUUGAAAACAAUACAGUUUUUGCCUUUUUAAACUAUAUAGCCUCCAUUGCUCCAAAUUUUG
Non-coding RNA from Paramuricea clavata, 234 nucleotides. The record is from the annotation of a GenBank genome assembly. NCBI's taxonomy places the organism in Eukaryota, Metazoa, Cnidaria, Anthozoa, Malacalcyonacea, Plexauridae.